GGGCGCGUAGCUCAGCGGUAGAGCACUACGGUGACAUCGUAGGGGCCGCUGGUUCGAAACCAGCCGCGCCCACCA
This 75-nucleotide transfer RNA is filed under the name Alphaproteobacteria bacterium. Its description in RNAcentral is "tRNA-Val". It matches the Rfam family "tRNA". Rfam says of the family: Transfer RNA (tRNA) molecules are approximately 80 nucleotides in length. Lineage: Bacteria; Pseudomonadati; Pseudomonadota; Alphaproteobacteria. The record is from RNAcentral.